Miniopterus natalensis is the source of this 640-nucleotide non-coding RNA. The record is from RefSeq and is a predicted model, not a curated record. Lineage: Eukaryota; Metazoa; Chordata; Mammalia; Chiroptera; Miniopteridae.
UGGGCGCAGGAAUCCUGCCCGCUCUGCAUCCAGCCAAUGCCCAGAGCACGCAGGCCUCUAACGAGGUUGUAACCAGCCCUGGAAGCUCUGACUGGCAGGACAAACUGCCUAGCUCCUCAUGGCCUCCGGGAGUAAUCGUGAAUCCUACCCUGAGAGCUGCUCACUGGGCCUGGGUACCAGGAUUAAUGCUCUUGAGUAGGAACCACUCACAGGGGCAGUGAAUGAACGCUGCCCUGUCUCCCGGAGCUGCCUUAACAAAGUGCCAUGAGCCGGGAGGCUAAAACCCCAGACAUCCCUUCCCUCUCAGCUCCGGAGGCUGGACGUCCAAGAUCAAGGUGUGGGCAGGGCUGUGCUCCCUCUGAGACACUGGGUGGGGUCCUCCUGCUGCUUGCAGCCUGGUGGCGGCUGUUGGCGUUCCACGGCAUCCCUCUCAUCUCUACAUCUGUGUCACGUGGCCUUCUCUCUGCCUGUCUUCUGCUCUUCUUAUAGGGACACCCGUCAUAAGGGACCCACCCGAUUAACCUUAUUGUGACUUGGUUACAUCAGCCAAGAUCCUAUUUUCAAAUAAGGCCCCGAUCGCUGGUACCGAGGUUAGGAUGGCAACAUAGCUUUUCAGAGAACACAGACGCUUUGCAGCUGG